UGGGGAAUAUUGGACAAUGGGGGCAACCCUGAUCCAGCCAUGCCGCGUGUGUGAAGAAGGCCUUUUGGUUGUAAAGCACUUUAAGCAGUGAAGAAGACUCCAUGGUUAAUACCCAUGGACGAUGACAUUAGCUGCAGAAUAA
RNAcentral lists this ribosomal RNA (142 nucleotides) under uncultured eubacterium ZI-10. Its description in RNAcentral is "partial 16S ribosomal RNA". It matches the Rfam family "Bacterial small subunit ribosomal RNA", at positions 355 to 489 of the family's 1533-position model. The record is from RNAcentral.